CUUGGCUGGACCAGUGG
This 17-nucleotide unclassified non-coding RNA is filed under the name Mus musculus (house mouse). Its description in RNAcentral is "oocyte_clustered_small_RNA7980". The record is from RNAcentral. Lineage: Eukaryota; Metazoa; Chordata; Mammalia; Rodentia; Muridae.